Molecule: ribosomal RNA, 552 nt
Filed under: uncultured bacterium
Lineage: Bacteria
Description: bacterial SSU rRNA
Rfam family: Bacterial small subunit ribosomal RNA
Source: RNAcentral
UAGGGAAUCUUCGGCAAUGGACGGAANNNUGGACCGAGCAACGCCGGCGUGAGUGAAGAAGGUUUUCGGAUCGUAAAGCUCUGUUGUAAGAGAAGAACGAGUGUGAGAGUGGAAAGUUCACACUGUGACGGUAUCUUACCAGAAAGGGACGGCUAACUACGUGCCAGCAGCCGCGGUAAUACGUAGGUCCCGAGCGUUGUCCGGAUUUAUUGGGCGUAAAGCGAGCGCAGGCGGUUAGAUAAGUCUGAAGUUAAAGGCUGUGGCUUAACCAUAGUAGGCUUUGGAAACUGUUUAACUUGAGUGCAAGAGGGGAGAGUGGAAUUCCAUGUGUAGCGGUGAAAUGCGUAGAUAUAUGGAGGAACACCGGUGGCGAAAGCGGCUCUCUGGCUUGUAACUGACGCUGAGGCUCGAAAGCGUGGGGAGCAAACAGGAUUAGAUACCCUGGUAGUCCACGCUGUAAACGAUGAGUGCUAGGUGUUAGACCCUUUCCGGGGUUUAGUGCCGUAGCUAACGCAUUAAGCACUCCGCCUGGGGAGUACGACCGCAAGGUUG